This 10369-nucleotide long non-coding RNA is filed under the name Daucus carota (carrot). Its description in RNAcentral is "long non-coding RNA (DCAR_LNC002980)". Lineage: Eukaryota; Viridiplantae; Streptophyta; Magnoliopsida; Apiales; Apiaceae. The record is from RNAcentral.
CAGAUGACAUGAAACUUAAAAUCCCAUUAAAGUUUCCAAGCCCUCUUCCACAACACUAGACAAGGUACUGCUGGUGGGAUUCCUAGCGGAGCAAUUUGCCCGAAUCUCCCCUUGUGUUCCCGUCAGCACAUUCAACAUUCCCAUCUUAAGCAUACCAAUAAUAAAAUUCUCGUAAAACAAGCUCUGGUUGACAGCAAAACUUGUGACAAUGCUCCGUGUCCUGUUAUCCGUAUACAAAUCCUGGUCCGAAGUGAACAGCCCUUGCCGAUUCAUGAGGUCGACAUAGUACUUGUUGUCGAAUACAUUCGGGGUUCGGAUAUCGAGAUUAGUCGUGUUGGUAGAGUUUGUGGUUGGACAAGUGAUUUUGAGGUUCGUAGCAAAGGUUUGAUCCAUGGUAGAGUCUUGGGUGGGGUAGAGUCUACUGGUGAAAGAAGUGCAAUGACCAAUGCCGAUUGUGUGGCCCCCGGAGAGUGCGACAGCGUCGGUGGUGGUGAGAUUUUUGGUGGCCAGAGAGGAGAGGAUGUCACUCGUAUUCGAAGUUGGUGCGGGAAGGUUAGCGAGAGUGUCAUUUUGGGUUGCGAAGUCGAGGCUGUCGCGGCGUCCGAAUGGCACGCUGUAGUUUGGACCACCGGACUGUUUAAGAGACAAAAAAAAUAGUGAAUUAAUUAGGUAUACAUAAAAUUAUGCUACAAAAGUCUUGAAUGAAAAUACCAAAAUCUAAAUGUAAUGUCUGUCUAUAUAUUAUUACUAUAUGAAUCCAGAACAUUUGUUAUAUUUGGUAAUGCAUCCUGCUGGGAGCGGAUCUGGAAACAAAAUCUUGAGGACACCAAGCAAAUUUUCAGAAAACGUUUAUAUGUUUUUAAAUUUUGGGGGACAAUUUUAUAAUUGUGUAAAAUUUAGAAUGGUGAAGAAAAUGUAAAAAAAGUUCUUGGGGAGGCACUUGUCCCCCGUGCCUCUUACUAGAUCCGCUCCUGCAUCUUGCAGUACGUUCUUGAAAAAAAAAAUUCUCAUCAGGACUCAAGAGCCAUGAUCUAGUUACCGAAACAAAAACAUGUAGCAUGAAAAAGAAAAUAAUAGAGUUUUAUAUAUAAACUCCAUCAAUCUUGCGCUCACAAAGCUAGAAAGUUAUGGGUAAUUAGGUGGGUAUUUACCAGAACAACUGCAUCACGAGCCGCAACAGCAGUAAUAUCAGCACAUGAGACAACACUCCCACAUUGAUUCUGAACUAGGCUCCUGAGUUCUUCGAUGAUCUGAAAAGCCUGGGGCCUUAAUGUAAGGUUCGGUGUUGCAUUUUUUUCGCCUGGUCCACUUGCUGAACCAUCUAGCAGAACUGACGCAUCACAUCCCUGGCAUCGUAUAUAUAUUACAGACAACACUACAUAAAUUGCCAUCGAAUAAUUUUAAAUCCUCAGCAGUUAAUCAAGAAAAAUUAAUAAUUACCAACAGUUUAUUAAGUUCUAGAGUAUAAUUAUAUAGCAAAUAAAAAAAAGUCUUUUAAUUUCACAUAUCUGAAAUUAUCUGAAUACCUCAACUGGUGCAAAUAAGAAAAUAAACUAACAGCUCCACUGUCUCUAACUAAAACUUAGUAAGAACAAUUAUGAUGACGAUGAGUGUAAGUUUGAAAUGUAGAAACCUGCACAAAACAAUCAUGGAAGUGCAACCGGAGCAAUCCAGCCGCAAGUCCUAUAUCGGAGGCGAACUCAGUCUGAAGCCUUGUCCUGACGAUGGUUUCAAAGUCAGGGCAGCUUGUAUUAUAGAAAGUGUAGGAGAGUCCUGACACCAGAGGCGGAGUUUGUGCUUCCGACACAUACAAGUAGCCGGAAGAGAGUAGCAAAAGACAUGGUACGAUAAGUAGUUGGGAAAUUAAAGAAGCAAAAGUUGAGGCCAUGAUUUUUGUUGCUUCUAUGUUUGUUCAGGUAUUAAGUGCAAGGGAGCCUGUAUAUAUACAAUUUUUUGAUUGACGUAGAUAGCUAACUAGGUUGAAAAUCCCAUGCACUUCACUAGCCGCAGAUAUUUACAAUUUCGGGGAUUUUUUUUUUAUUAUUUCUCGACGCAACGUGAUAAAAUUAAUCUUUUGGGGAUUUCAUAAAAUGCUAACAUCGAUCGAUAAAUGUUGAGAGUGAAACCGGAAUUAACAAAAAAUGCUUUCUAUUGUACAGUAGUAAGUAUAAUUUAUACUACAUUGCGCGGUAAUGAUAUCAUUUAACACAUAUUAAUCCACAUUAAUUACACCAAACUUAGAUUACCCUAAUUGUUUGAAGUUUGAUAUUACACUGAUUGUUAAUUUGAAGUUUGAUAGUACAUAUUUGGACUAUCAAUUGGUGUCCGUUGAUAUGUUAUCUACUUUCGAAUUUUCUAUGGUGUGCGCAAGGGCACACAAUAGUCACUAACUCCCAUGAAAAUUCUAGCUUUUGAUUGGUGGAUGGAUAAUAAAUGUAAAUGGCCCCCUGCAUUCACAUCAAUUUCACCAAUCAAAACAAGUCAUUUUCAUGGUAGUUUGUGCUUAUUGUGUGCCCUUGGGCACACAUUAGAAAGACCGAUCUACUUUAUAAUACUCUAACCAUCCUUCAAAGUUUCAGCCACAAAUACUGAAAUACACAAAGGUAGUCAUUGGCCAGCUGAACGCGUGUUUCUUGUUUAACACAAUGCACUGUACAUUUACUUGGUUACAAUUUGAUCACCAUAAAGCAGAUGUGGAAUUUAGACUUUUGCAUUUAACUCUAUUUACUGAAAUUUAUUGGUUUUCAUUAAUCAUCCUUACAAAUUUCAUACAUCCAUUACGUCAACUUUAAUUUCAGCAAAUAAUUUUAUUAGUUAUUGCAAUUUAACCCGGGUCACUGAUAUGAAAGUUUUCAAUAUAUAGAUAUAUAAAAAGUCAUUUAUUUGUAAAGACCGCUUGUCACAGCAAGCAAACACAGAUGAUAAGAAAUUUAAAAUCCCAUCAAAGUUUCCAAUCCCUCUUCCACAACAGUAGACAAGAAACUGCUGGUCGGAUUCCUGGCCGAGCAGUUCGCCCGAAUCUCCCCUUGUGUUCCGGUCAGCACAUUCAACAUCCCCAUCUUCAGCAUCCCAAUAAUAAACUUCUCGUAAAACAAGCUCUGGUUCACAGCAAAACCUGUAACAAUGCUCCGUGUCCUGCUAUCCGUAUACAAAUCCUGGUCCGAAGUGAACAGCCCUUGCCGAUUCAUGAGGUCAACAUAGUACUUGUUGUCGAAUACAUUCGGGCUUCGGAUAUCUAGAUUAGUCGUGUUGGUGGAGUUUGUGGUUGGACAAGUGAUUUUGAGGUUGUUAGCGAAGGUUUGAUCCAUGGUAGAGUCUUGGGUGGGGUAGAGUCUCCCGGUGAAAGAAGUGCAAUGGCCAAUGCCGAUAGUGUGGCCCCCCGAGAGCGCGACUGCGUCGGUGGCGGUGAGAUUUUUGGUGGCCAGAGAGGAGAGGAUGGCACUUGUAUUGGCAGUCGGCGGGGGAAGAUUAGCCAAAGUUGCAUUUCUGGUUGCAAAGUUGAGGCUGUCGCGGCGCCCGAAUGGCACUCGGUAGUUUGGACCACCGGACUGGAUAUAAAAGGAAAGCAAUUUAGUAAAUUUAUUAGGUCCACAUAAAUUUAUGCUCAAAAAACAAGUUUUUAAUGAAAAUGCUAAAAUCUAGUUUUCUUUUUCUCUGUGUGCAAAUAUACACUUAAAUAUUGGAAAAUUAGCUAGGUAAUUACCAGAACAACUGCAUCACGAGCCGCAAGAGCAGUAAUAUCAGCACAUGAGACGAUUCUUCCACAUUGAUUCUGAACUAGCCUCCUGAGUUCUUCGAUGAUCUGGAAAGCCUUGGCCCUCAGUGUAAGGUUUGGUGGUGCAUUUUUUUCGCUAGGUCCACUUGCUGAACCAUCUAGCAAAACUGAGGCAUCACAUCCCUGGCAUCAUCCAUUGCAAACAAGUGUUAUAUUUAUCUGUACAUUUACAUAAAUAAAUUGGUACCAAAAAAUUUGUGCCAAUCAAAUUAUCACCAGCAGCCAAUUAGUAAAAAUUAAAAAUAAAAUAAAAAUCUCCAGCAGUUUGUAAAAAUCCAGAGGAUAAUUAUACAGUAAAUAAAUAAAUAAAAUUACUUCACAAGUUCACAUAUCUGAAUCUCAUUAACAAUUGUGAAUUAGCAAUAUUAUAUUACUAGCUCAAAAACUAAUUAAUUAACUAAAAAAGAACAUACUAUCACACUAAAACUUAUAAAGUAAGAAUGAAUUAUGGUGGUGAGUGUGAGUAUAAAAUGAAGAAACCUGCACAAAACAAUCAUGGAAAUGCAUCCGGAGCAAUCCAGCCGCAAGACCUAUAUCGGAGGCGAACUCAGUCUGAAGCCUGGUCCUGACAAUGGAUUCAAAGUUAGGGCAGCUUGUACUAUAGAAAGUGUAGGAGAGUCCGGACACCAGAGGUGGAGUUUGUGCUUCCGACACGUACAAGAAACCGGAAGAGAGUAGCAAAAGACAUGGUACGAUAAGUAGUUGAGGGAUUAAAGAAGCAGAAGUUGAGGCCAUGAUUCUUGCUUCUGUGUUUGUUCAGGCCUCCAGUGUAUUAAGUGAAGGGAGGAAGCUAGCUGUAUAUAUACAAAUUUUUGACCUAGAUUGCUAGGUGUUGAUAAUCCCAUGCACUUUCACCAACUAGACAAGAAAUUAUCAAGAAGCAUAAAAAAUGUCAAAGUAAUAAAAGGUCUUAAGAUUUAAUAACAUACAAACGUUAAAAGAUAAAUAAAUUCUGAUGUUGUGAUUGGUUGGGGAAAAUGAAUGGAACAGACAGGAAUAGAAUGAGUAAAAUUACUUAAAAUUAAUAAAUGUAGCAAGAAAGUUGUGAAAAAAAAAUCAAGUGAGUGUAAUAUUAUUAUGCUAAGAUUGGUGGUGAAGAAAUUGGGUGUAAUAGGAGAGAAUGGAGCAUUCCAUCUCAAAUUAAAGGUGUGAUUUCUAGCACAUGAAAUAAGGAAUGGAGAAAGAAAUGAAGUUUCCUAACAAUUCUCCAUAACAUAGUUCAUUUUUCAUUCGGUUUCUUCCGGAAUCAUUCACCCCAACCAAAUACAAGGUGUUCAAAUAACGCCAUGCUUGAUAUCCUAUGCACAUUUUUUUUAUAUAUACUUUGAUUUUAUAGCCAAAAAAAAGUCACAUUUUAUCAUUUUUUUAUAUCAAGUCCAUAAAUUUAAUUUAAUUUUAUAAUUAAUAAAUGUUUUACUAAUCGUGUGGAGGACAUGAGCGAGAGCUUUAAUUACAAAAGUCUAAAUUGAACACAUAAAGGUCCAUCUCAAACACGCAAGGUGUCCACGCUCCAAAAUUUUUAAUAUAUUAAAGGUAAACCUAACUACUAGAAUUACUACUAUGACAUGAUGCAUGGGGCAUUUGCCGUGUGCGGCUGAGACUUGAGAGCGAGAGCUUAUAGAAUAAUAUGCUUCCGAUAUAUGCAACAUAAAAAUUAAAGAAAAUAGAGAAGAAGAAGAAUAUGCUUCCAGUAACGGGCCUGCUUGGCUUAAAUGUGUAAUAAUUAGUCAGUAUUAAAUAUAAUUUAUUAAUAAUUUUUUAAUAAUUUUUAAUUAUUGAUAAUAUAAAUUAUUUAAAUAAAUAUUAAUAUAAUAUUUUCAAUUUCAAUCCAUCGAAUCACUCUAAAUUAUAAAUUAUUAACUUAAAAUUAUAUCUUAAUUCAUACGAGCUACACAUGACAAUAACUACAAUAAUACGAGUAAUGACAGUAUUUGUUUUUAUAAUCUAGACAACACCAAAAUUAUAUUAUAAUACCAAUAUGCCCUCUAGAAAAUAAGAGAUAAGCCGUUUUUAUAUACUGAUUCAGCGCAUAGACGCGGGUUAAGUUACAAAAUAGUUUCCCAACCAACAUAUAUAGGCGAUAAGGACAGCCAGUGUAUUUAACAGCAAUUCAUAUUAUCAGACGACUAUAUAUAUUAGUCUAUACAUAAGUAGAAAGUGACCGUAUGGCAUCAGAAGUUUAUCAUAGAUAUUAUAAAAUUAUUUUCACAAUAAAAUAAAUUAUUUCCACAAUAAAAUAAACUUUAUAAAUAGGAGUAUUCAAAGUCAAGCCAGAAGGUCAACUUACUAACAUAUAUCUGAAACAAUUUAAUUAUGCAUCGAAUUUAUACGUGGUAUGUGCACAAUCCACAUGAACACGAGUAGUACACAACAAUAAUUUGAGUGCAAUUAUUUCUCGAUGGCCUACAAGCAAGCAAGCACAAAAAAGUUUCGUUCACAAAAAAUUCAUGUUGUGCGUUUAUGCCAAAGCUCCGUCCUUUCAAACUGUCGCCACAAAUCAACAUACACGUAAAUACAGCCAAGAUGAAUGCAUGUUUGUCGUUAAGAGCAAUCCGGGGUGCCAAAAAGAGUGCUAAAAUGACAUGUGUAAUGAUGUGGCAUGACAUUUUUGUUGACUCUUCAUUGGAGUGGAAGGAGUGUCAAGCAAAGUUACCAAUUUUGGCACCUUCAUAAAAAUAAAAAAAAAUGUAUAAAUCAUUCUAAAAUCAUUUAGUUUCCUAUCUUGUUAUAAUUAUACAUGUACAAAUAUGUGGUAACUUGGGGUGCCAACCAUUGAAGUAAAUUUUUAUGUAAAAGUUGUCCAAACAGAAAAAAAUAAAAUAAUAAUAUUUUUAAUAAUUUAUUGUUUUAAACUAUUUUAGUUAGCCCAUCUAUCCGAGAUGCUCUACCGUCGCCCGUCGGUACUUAAUUAUGCACGGGAUGGUUGAAAAUUCCACAAGGUGAUCAUCAAUUGAAUAAAGACCACGCACGAUGUUUUAAAAUAUUUGAUGUUUUAAUUUCUGCAUUUGUAGAUAAGAAGGUGUCCAAUUUUGACUUAUGCGUUUACGUUCAAAAUGUGCCAAGACUUUGCAUGCAGAGCGAAUCUUUGAAAUCCAAAACUAACGAAACUUACAAAUCUGUGGGGGGGACUAUAACGCGGUUUACACGUUUUUUGGUUGCAAAAGUAAUCUGUACUUGGAAGGCCUAACUUUUUAGGCAUAAAAGACUUAAAAGUAAAUAUUUUUAAAAAAAUUUAUGAAGUGUCAAUCACUAUAUACUUAGAGCAACUCCAGCAGCUUCCCUAUAUCAUGUCCUAAGUCCAAUUAUAAGGAAUGUGACAUAAAUUAGUGCUCCAGCAGUGUCUUAGAAGUGCCUUAAAUCACUAGGAUCCUUCUUACAUGCCUUAUUAAUAAGACACCACUAGUCAUGCCUUAUUUGAUUUCUUUAAUAAAAAAAUCAUUUCUCUCUCUUAUUGUAACUUAUUUUCUCUCUCUUCCUUCCUUCUUUUUUCAAUCUCUUUCCAAAUUUAUUAUUAUAAUAAUAAUAAGGAAUGAAUUAUAAGGAUCAUUGUUGGAGUUGAAAUACAAAGUCUUGUCCUAAAUCACUAGGAUUCAAUAUUUUAUAAUAUUUAUAAGGAAGACACUAAGACACUGCUGGAGAUGCUCUUAUAUAUUAAAUUUUAUAUAUUUAGUUUAUAUUGAUUGACUCAUGUUUAUUAAUAAUGAUGAACUCAUAUAUGUAUAAAUGAAAAUUAGUUAAAUACAUAAAAUUUAAUUAUUUAUUUGUGUCAUGAGCACGUAUUAAAUAAAUCCUUUUGCAGUGUAUUGAGAUAUACGACUCUCUAAAAUAUAACAUAUUAAAUACUGUGAGUACUCAAGGUAGAGAGAUGACACUUUACUUAAUAUAUAGGUAAGAGGGAAAGUUUAGUUAAAGGACUUUCUCUUUACAUAUACACACCUUACAUUCCGGAAUGCUCGGAUGAUUAAUUAGUGAAAUCAGUUUAGUUCUGCACUUUCUCUUCGGUUAUCAUGAUUAGGUGUAGAAUAUAUUAAGAAAUAUUAUAUAUACAAAAUUGGAUAUAAAAUUUUUUAUAAUAUGAUAUGGGUUGAAUUUUGAUUAGAAUAAAUUUCAUGUACUUACAUAGAUAAUAUAAAUUAAAACAUCUCACUCCAUUUAUCAUAUCAUACAGAAUUUUAUAUCCAAUUUUAUGUAUAUUAGUUAUUCACUGUAUUAUUGCUGGAUCACGACACCGCUACCUAACUAGGGGUGAUCAGAAAACCGCCCAAACCGCCCGCACCGCACCGAACCGCACCACAAAACGCGGUUUUUAAUUUUCGUGGUGCGGUUGCGGUUUGGAUCUUUCACAAACCGCGCGGUGCGGUGCGGGUUGCGGUUUUAGUUUUCUUGAAUGCGGUUCAAACCGCACCGCACCGCAAUAUUAAUAUAUAUAAUACUGUUUAAGACUCCNUAAAACUUAACUAUCAGGAGUCCUAGUCCAGCAGUCCAGCACGCAGUAGCCCAGAAGAUAUAGACACUUAUCAGGCUGUUGCUUUUGGUAAUGAAAUUACUUUCUACUUCAACUAUCUCAGUCAGUUUGUUUAAGACUUUAAUCGGUGUGCUACUGUGUUGUUUAAGACUCCUCUGUUAAGUUUUAUUAAUGUUCCAGAUUUGAAAUUUAUGUUCAAAUUUAGAGAUAUUUAAUUAGUUUUAUCGCAUGUGGAAACCGCAGUGAACCGCACCACACCGCACCGCAUUUUCGUGGUGUGGUUUAUGUGGUUUUAGAAUUUCGUGGUGCGGUUGCGGUUUGAGAUUUUGGUUAAACCGCAUGUGCGGUUUGGUUUGCGGUUUUAGGAAAAAACCGCACCGCCCGCACCGCGAUCACCCCUAUACCUAACCGUGAAACGGAAAAAAGAAUCAUAAUGCUCGCCGAUACAUGACAAGAUCUCCCGACCCAUACGAGAGUCUUUUGCAAUAUUGUCAAUGUCCCUCUCAUUUUUUUACAUAUUUUUUUAUAUUUUUCGACACGUAUUUGAAGGCGUAUACAAAACAUAUUUUUUCAUAAUUUUUGUUUGAAAUUUUUUAAUAAAAAUUUAGAUAAUAAAUAUUUAUGCAGAAGAAAAAAAAUUUAAAAUAAUUUAUCAAAACUAUAUUUUAUGAAAAUAUUAGAAUGCGUGCCGAGCUCUUGUCUCCCGAUGUAAACAAUUGAGGGGACGGAGGGGAUACAACUCUAUAAGCCAAGUGAAACUUCAUACAAAAGUGAAUAACAGAGAAGCUAUCAACAAUGGAAGGCCAAUUCAUGCUGAUGCCAAACAGACUCAGCAGUAACAGGAGGAAGCAAAAGGUAAAAAAGUUCUAUGAAUAGAGAGCCAAUGCAGGUAAGCAAGAAAAUGUAGUUUCAUGGACACACUCUAAAAAUACCGUAAUAAAAAGGUGCGCAGAGAGCUAGAGAUGUGUGCGUUCGAGAAGACGAGAAAGAACAAGAAAGAAUUUGCCAGGAAGAUUAGGUUCCUCUAUUUUUAUGGGUCACAGUUGUAAUUCCAGUUACGGUCUUUCUAAUGUGUGCCCAAGGGCACACAAUAAUCACCAACUUUCAUGAAAAUGGCUUGUUUUUAUUGGUUGAAUUGAUGUGCAUACAGGGGGGCCAUCAUCAUUUAUUAUUCAUCUACCAAUCAAAACUCACCAUUCUUAUAGAAGUUAGUGACUAUUGUGUGCUCAUGGGCACACCAUAGAAAAUCUCUUCCAGUUAAUGAACAAAGCACCAUAAGCUCGUAGUCGUCGCAAGUAUUACAUGGUGCAUUGUUGAAUAAACAGCAUACCAAUUCUCGAACCACAUUGAAAAGCACCUAUGUUGUGUUUGGUUGGAGAGAAUGGAAUGGAAUGGAAUGAAAUGAGUAAAAAAUAUUUGAAACUAAUAGAGAUAGGAAGAAAGUUUUGAAAAAAUAUGAAGGAGUGCAAAAUUGCUAUGAUGAGAUUUGAGAAGAAAUUGAGGAUGAGAGAGAAUGGAGCAUUCCAUCCUAAAUGGAAGGGGUGUUAUCUAACAUAUGAUGUAGGGAAUGGAAUGGAGGAAGGAAUGAAAUUUCUUAAAAAUCAUCCAUAAGAUAGUUCAUUUUUCAUUCCAUUCCUUCCGGAAUCAUUCACCCCAACCAAACACAACACUAGUUCUUUCACAAAGUUUAUUCGAAACAAGAAACUUGGGAGUAUAUAUACCCCGAUUACAGUUAAAAGCCUAUAAAUUUGAUAGCUCAAAUUCUUCUGCUACAUCAACAACAGAGGACAACAACGUACUACCAGAGUUUCUCGCCGAACAAUUAGCCCGAAUCUCCCCGUUUGUUCCUGUCACCACAUCCAUCUGUCCCAUCUUCAACAUGGCAAUCACAAAUUUCUCAAAAAACAAGGUCUGGUUAACUGCAAAACUCGUAACAAUGCCACGGGUCCUACUAUCCGUAUACAAAUCCUGGUCCGAUGUAAAAAGUCCUUGUCGGUUCAUGAGGUCAACAUAGUACUUGUUGUCAAACACGUUUGGAGUCCGAAUAUCUUGGUCUGUUGUUCCAUCAACUGAUGCAUUUUGGGGGCAUAUGUUUUUGAGGUCUUUGGCGAAGGUUUGGUCCAUGGUAG